This 507-nucleotide unclassified non-coding RNA is filed under the name uncultured Entrophospora. RNAcentral's name for it is "SSU rRNA". It matches the Rfam family "Eukaryotic small subunit ribosomal RNA", at positions 591 to 1092 of the family's 1831-position model. Lineage: Eukaryota; Fungi; Glomeromycota; Glomeromycetes; Entrophosporales; Entrophosporaceae. The record is from RNAcentral.
CCAAUAGCGUAUAUUAAAGUUGUUGCAGUUAAAAAGCUCGUAGUUGAAUUUCGGGAUUGGCGCAUCGGUCGUGCCUUACGGGGUAUGAACUGGUGCAGUCAAUUUCUCACCUUCUGGAGAACCGCGAUGUCCUUAAUUGGGUGCCGCGGGGAACCAGGACCUUUACUUUGAAAAAAUUAGAGUGUUUAAAGCAGGCAUUUUUGCUUGAAUACAUUAGCAGGGAAUAAUAAAAUAGGACGGCAUGGUUCUAUUUUGUUGGUUUCUAGGACCACCGUAAUGAUUAAUAGGGAUAGUUGGGGGCAUUAGUAUUCAAUUGUCAGAGGUGAAAUUCUUGGAUUUAUUGAAGACUAACUACUGCGAAAGCAUUUGCCAAGGAUGUUUUCAUUAAUCAAGAACGAAAGUUAGGGGAUCGAAGACGAUCAGAUACCGUCGUAGUCUUAACCAUAAACUAUGCCGACUAGGAAUCAGACGAUGUUAAUUUUUUAAUGACUCGUUUGGCACCUUACG